GUGAGAUCUCAAGCAAAUCUCUGUUCUUGCCUGAUUCACUGGACUGGGAUUAGAUAACAAAUGACUUUCUAGAGUUCACUGUAACUGUCUCAAGAAAGAUGGACUUCUGAGAAAGACUGGAGGUGACGAGGCCAGUGAGGAGGCUACCCUGGUUGUGUAGCACAAAGAUGAUGACAUCGUGAAUUAAGGCAGUGUGAAUGGAGUGGGAAGGACAGAUGCCAGAAAUAAAGGGAUGGAACUCUUGUCCUCAGUCGCUGAUUACACGUGGAAGAUGAGCCAGAAGGGGAGCCUGGGGUGACUCCAUGCUUAAAUCUUGAAUGACUGAGUGCAUGGUAUUUGCUUUAUAUUGGGACUUUCAGAUAAAUAACAAGAGAACAAAGAUAAUCAUAAAAAACACAGGCAUCUUGAGCU
Suricata suricatta (meerkat) is the source of this 411-nucleotide long non-coding RNA. RefSeq lists it as uncharacterized. The record is from RefSeq and is a predicted model, not a curated record. NCBI's taxonomy places the organism in Eukaryota, Metazoa, Chordata, Mammalia, Carnivora, Herpestidae. The transcript has 2 exons.